Molecule: ribosomal RNA, 466 nt
Filed under: bacterium DAZ1010
Lineage: Bacteria
Description: bacterial SSU rRNA
Rfam family: Bacterial small subunit ribosomal RNA
Source: RNAcentral
GAUGAACGCUGGCGGCGUGCCUAACACAUGCAAGUCGAACGGAGAUUUAACGCUGAUGAAGCUUCGGCAGAUUCUUGUUAAAUCUUAGUGGCGGACGGGUGAGUAACGCGUGGGCAACCUGCCUCAUACUGGGGGAUAACAGCUGGAAACGACUGUUAAUACCGCAUAAGCGCACAGCAUCGCAUGAUGCAGUGUGAAAAACUCCGGUGGUAUGAGAUGGGCCCGCGUCAGAUUAGCCAGUUGGCAGGGUAACGGCCUACCAAAGCGACGAUCUGUAGCCGGCCUGAGAGGGCGGACGGCCACAUUGGGACUGAGACACGGCCCAAACUCCUACGGGAGGCAGCAGUGGGGGAUAUUGCACAAUGGAGGAAACUCUGAUGCAGCGACGCCGCGUGAGUGAAGAAGUUUUCGGUAUGUAAAGCUCUAUCAGCAGGGAAGAAAGACUCGUAAGAGAGAUGACGGUACC